CGUAGGGUGCGAGCGUUAAUCGGAAUUACUGGGCGUAAAGCGUGCGCAGGCGGUUUGUUAAGAUAGGCGUGAAAUCCCCGGGCUCAACCUGGGAACUGCGCUUAUGACUGGCAAGCUAGAGUACGGCAGAGGGGGGUGGAAUUCCACGUGUAGCAGUGAAAUGCGUAGAGAUGUGGAGGAACACCAAUGGCGAAGGCAGCCCCCUGGGUCGAUACUGACGCUCAUGCACGAAAGCGUGGGUAGCAAACAGGAUUAGAUACCCUGGUAGUCCACGCCCUAAACGAUGUCAACUAGGUGUUGGGAGGGUAAAACCUUUUAGUACCGGAGCUAACGCGUGAGGUUGACCGCCUGGGGAGUACGGCCGCAAGGUUA
Molecule: ribosomal RNA, 372 nt
Filed under: uncultured organism
Description: bacterial SSU rRNA
Rfam family: Bacterial small subunit ribosomal RNA
Source: RNAcentral